GUGCACCAGGCGCGAAUAUUCGGCAAUGGGCGAAAGCCUGACCGAGCGACGCCGCGUGCGGGAUGAAGGCCUUCGGGUUGUAAACCGCUUUUCUAAGGGAAAAAUUGUGUCUCACUGUUGUUGGAGAAAAAUAAUAAGAAUAAGAUGGAUGGCCGUAGAGUUCCGUGACUUCCGCAGGUUUUCAUAAAAAUACCAAAUUACAGUGAGGCACAAAUUGAAGGUACCUUAGGAAUAAGAGGUUGCUAACUCCGUGCCAGCAGCAGCGGUAAUACGGAGACCUCAAGCGUUAUCCGGAUUUAUGGGCGUAAAGGGUGUGUAGGCGGAUGUGAUAGUCAGAUGUUAAAAUUAUGGAGCUC
RNAcentral lists this ribosomal RNA (356 nucleotides) under uncultured microorganism. RNAcentral describes it as "partial 16S ribosomal RNA". It matches the Rfam family "Bacterial small subunit ribosomal RNA", at positions 346 to 610 of the family's 1533-position model. The record is from RNAcentral.